Molecule: long non-coding RNA, 850 nt
Filed under: Homo sapiens (human)
Lineage: Eukaryota; Metazoa; Chordata; Mammalia; Primates; Hominidae
Description: HSALNT0396408
Source: RNAcentral
AAGGGGACACAGACCUGCGUCCAAGCUGUGCCACCUGAGACGUGGGCGGUCCCAGUGACCGGGAGCCGGAGCUCGAACGGGACGGGCGAACAGAAGCGCGGAGGGCUUCGCAGCGUCGGCGUCUGUGCGUGGGCCAAACAUCAGGGCCUCGACCAGGGAUACAAGGGCAACCGCUAACUAGAUUCCUGAUUCCUGAUGGCUGGCGGCGGCUGACACCAAAGUGCCCGUGGGAGAGCAAGAUCGCGAGGCACGAGCUGUGAGGGCACACCGCCUCUCUUGGUCCUCCGAAGCAAAGACACUGAUGCUCCCAGAAGCUGCGGAAGGACCUGGCUGGAGAUGACUUCCAGCACCGCCACCAUGUUCCGGAUCUGUGGAAAUAAAAAGCCAUUUGUCAGGUCCCUGUCCUUCUCCACUGGGAGGCUGGAACACCCUGCCCCAGCCUGCUCCAGUCUCUCCCCAACCCCAGAGCAAGAGGAGCCAGCAGCACUGAAGCCCCCACUCCAUGUCGUCUCCUACCUGCUCCCUGGGCCAACCUGGCACCCAGUGCUCAUCCUCACCUGCCGUCUGACCUCCUCCAGUGUGUGGUGUGCGGGCUGCCCCAAGCCCUCCAGUGUACAUGGUACAUACCCACCCACCUGCUGAAACCCAGGAUGCCUGUGGAACAAGAGCUGCUCCUGAUACUUAAGAUGACCUCUACUCUGCCAUCUGAUGGGAGUGGGAGAGGAGACACGGAAGAAUUCAUCGAAUAAAAUCCACAAAGCUUAAAAGAUCAAUACACAGGCCAGGCGCGGUGGCUGACACCUGUAAUCCCAGCACUUUGGGAGGCUGACGAAGGCGGAUCAGAAGGUCA